UACGGAAGGCAGCAGUGGGGAAUAUUGCACAAUGGGCGAAAGCCUGAUGCAGCUAUGCCGCGUGUAUGAAGAAGGCCUUAGGGUUGUAAAGUACUUUCAUCGGGGAGGAAAAAACAAAACUAAUAAUUUUAUUUCUUGACGUUACCCGAAAAAGAAGCACCGGCUAACUCCGUGCCAGCAGCCGCGGUAAUACGGAGGGUGCUAGCGUUAAUCAGAAUUACUGGGCGUAAAGAGCACGUAGGUGGUUUUUUUAAGUCAGAUGUGAAUCCCCUGGGCUUAACCUAGGAACUGCAUUUUGAAACUGAAAUACUAGAGUAUCGUAGAGGGAGGUAGAAUUCUAGGUGUAGCGGUGAAAUGCGUAGAUAUCUGGAGGAAUACCUGUGGCGAAAGCGGCCUCCUAAACGAAUACUGACACUGAGGUGCGAAAGCGUGGGGAGCAAACAGGGAUUAGAUACC
Molecule: ribosomal RNA, 456 nt
Filed under: uncultured bacterium
Lineage: Bacteria
Description: bacterial SSU rRNA
Rfam family: Bacterial small subunit ribosomal RNA
Source: RNAcentral